UCAUUGCACACACAAAGUUGCAGCAAACCCCCCUUGCGAAUUUCAUGAUUGUCCCCCUCGUGUCUUGGGGGGCCGGGGCAAAGUUUGUCCCGGCCUGCCGAACACACGCCCAAGUCCCCUGUGACUUGGUGUACCCAAACCGAUUGCGCAAUGCAUCAACACUUUCAAUAUGACUGAGUAUAAGAUCGGGAUGCUGCCGCUUGCGAAGGUGGUGGCGUCCCGGAGUUGUAAUAAACGAAAACAACUCUCAGCAACGGAUAUCUUGGCUCUUGCAACGAUGAAGAACGCAGCGAAAUGCGAUACGUAGUGUGAAUUGCAGAAUUCCGCGAAUCAUCGAGUUUUUGAACGCAAGUUGCGCCCGAGGCUUGACCAAGGGCAUCUCUGCCAGAGCGUCACCGCGACACCCACCAAACCACUCUUGAGUGAGUGGUUCGAGUGAAAGUGGCCAUCCGAAUGGGGCCACCCGGGGGAGGGGAAACUCUUCUCUGGGCGGCAGAUUGGGUUGGCUGAAAUGGAGGGAAUUUGGCCGCCGUGGUGACACACAGCCCGCGAUCAGGUGAUCCAGGCCCGCCCCCCUCCCACCUGCAAAGGUGGUGGUGGUGGCGGUGGUGUCCUGGAGCUCAAAUGUGCGUCGGUUGUGCCGCCCAGUUUGGCUACCAAGGGAUUCCAAAGCAGGUCCCUCCCGACACUCGGGCCCCCCGAGUGGAGGGAGGAAAACAAAGUC
This 724-nucleotide ribosomal RNA is filed under the name Tuerckheimia valeriana. RNAcentral's name for it is "eukaryotic LSU rRNA". The stretch from base 243 to 395 matches the Rfam family "5.8S ribosomal RNA". Lineage: Eukaryota; Viridiplantae; Streptophyta; Bryopsida; Pottiales; Pottiaceae. The record is from RNAcentral.